UACGUAGGGGGCUAGCGUUGUCCGGAUUUAUUGGGACGUAAAGAGCGUGUAGGCGGCCAGGUAGGUCUGCUGUGAAAACUCGAGGCUCAACCUCCGAGACGUCGGCGGGAAAACCAUCUGGCUAGGAGUCCGGAAAGAGGAGAGUGGAAUUCCGUGGUGUAGCGGUGAAAUGCGCAGAUAUCAGGAAGAACACCCGUGGCGAAAGCGGCUUCCUGGACCAGAACUGACGAUCAGGCUCGGAAAGCCGUGGGGAGCAAACAGG
RNAcentral lists this ribosomal RNA (262 nucleotides) under uncultured bacterium. Its description in RNAcentral is "partial 16S ribosomal RNA". It matches the Rfam family "Bacterial small subunit ribosomal RNA", at positions 524 to 776 of the family's 1533-position model. The record is from RNAcentral.